RNAcentral lists this ribosomal RNA (399 nucleotides) under Potamon algeriense. Its description in RNAcentral is "partial small subunit ribosomal RNA". Lineage: Eukaryota; Metazoa; Arthropoda; Malacostraca; Decapoda; Potamidae. The record is from RNAcentral.
UAAACUAGGAUUAGAUACCCUAUUAUAUUAAAGUUGAAUUUAUAAAUACUGAAUUAUUAAUAGAUAUUUCUUAAAAUUUAAAGAAUUUGGCGGUAAUUUAGUCUUGUCAGAGGAACCUGUUUUUUAAUCGAUACACCACGUUAUAUCUUACUUAUUUUAAAUGGUUUGUAUACCAUCAUUAACAGAUAAUUUUAAAAGAAAAAUUAUUAAAAUUGAACAUAUUAAAAAAAUUAGAUCAAGGUGCAGCUGAUAAAUAAGUUAAAAUGGGUUACAAUAAAAUUUAUUUAUACGAAAUGAUUUAAAAAAUUAAAUUAUAAAGGUGGAUUUGAUUGUAAUGUAGGCUUAGUAAGCGUAUAAGAUAUAAGCUCUAAAUUAUGUACACAUCGCCCGUCACUCUCA